CAUUGGACGGAAGCAGCGGCGGCGUGACAAAGAAAAGAAGGAAGCGGCGGCGUGGUCCUCUGCAUCCUCGGUCGUCUUCUCCUGAACAUCUGCCCAUCUCGCUUCACCAGUCCACGCCCGCAGCAAGCGGCACGCCAAGGCAGCCUUGAUCCUUCUUUCUUGUGGCCAAGGGGGGAAUCCAUGCCGGGGAGCAACAUGCACCAAUGAAGUUCCUGCAGAGCAGAGCACGGAGACCAUGGUGGCCGUCACGGUCGCCGUGACCGCUGGCGCCGGAUUUCUUCCUCCGGCAGCAAAAAAAAGGUUCGCGCGCGCCAACUCCUACAGAUAGUGUGCGGGUUCUUUGGAUCGAGUACAGAGUUGGGAAAUUUGUUGUGGAUUUUAUGAGAUUGAUAUACCUGAGGCGUGGCCAUCUGCGUCUUUGAUUAUCCAUGAAGCUGCUCAAUAUAGAUGUGUUUUUUUGUCUGGAUACAUGCACCAGUUCCGCUCAGCACUGAUUCAUAUACUUUCGAGGUAAUUUAGGUGAACCUGGGUGAUUAAAUUUUGUCGUACUUCCAUGCUUGGUGGCACCAGAUCAAUUCAUCUCUACCACAUGACCUGAUGCUCUGUAUUUUUUGGGACUUAUUUGUCUUCUAGAAGAAGCUAGCUUUGAUGGAUUUAGGUGUGAUUUAUCUAGAAAAGGAAAACUGUACGAGGCAAGCCAAUGGCAAGAAAGACAAACAGGAUGAUGCCGGACUGUUGGAAGCUGACAUGCUGGAUCCAUGGUGGGCUGGUGCUUUGCAGAUGAAUCGACUAAGAGAUUUGUGCGCUCGCCCAACAAGAAGGGACAUGUCGUCGACCUCUGCGAGCAAGCGAUGGUGGUGAGAGUCUGCAAUAGAGAACGGACUUGAAAACGGCGUCCACAGAUUGCAUUGUCAGAGGCGGUACCUUGUAGAGGCAAGGCCUAUGGGGCGGCAUCUAGGCCCUGAUGACGGCAACGGUUGUUCUUCCGGUGCAAAAGCACCAGAGUCGAGUUAUGUCACCACCAUGAUGAUGAACGGCGACCCGUCUUUGAAAAUCAAACGAGCGGAAGCAGAAUGCCUCCUUUUAUACCGACGUUGCAUUGGCAUGUGGCCAUGUCUGUGUCCUUGCGCACUUCUGCUGUGUUGGAUUCUGAUUUCAAAAGAGAAGAGAUGAUCCUUUUACCUGGUCCUAUUUGUAUACAACUCAGAUUGACGCCGCCGCAAAGCGCAAAGCCCUGUCCAGGUGCAACUACUAUUUACCACCGAUCCUAGGGCUCAUGGAAGGUCAGGUCGAUGGCGGUGGCGGCUGUGGCUACCUCUAUGCGGGGAUGCCCGGCUCUGUGUCAUCAGUGGUCUUCUCCACAUAGCAGACAUCAUGUCGUCCUUCUCGUGAACGGAUGGGGAUGCCACCGCGUCUUCGUCCAGAUCGUCGACAUCAAUUGGACGAAGAUUAAUUGGAAAGCAUGAUGAAGAUUAAUUGGAAAGCAAGAACACGUGCAUGUUUUGCCCAGCAAGAUUAUGACCAGAUUGCAGGCGGAUUUGUUCUCCACCAAGAUCAAGCACGACCUAUUUAAACAAACAGGAGAGGUUGUAGCGAGUUUGUUCAUGCUGAUGUUUGUGAUUUCGCUGCGUCUUAAAAGAAUAUACAUAAUGCACCAGUCAUGCAAGGAAAAUAGUUUAAAUAAUAGUUUUGGCAGCAACAAAUAAGAUGAAUACGAUCUGCCAUCACAAUGAAACAAGAGAAAAGUAGUUUCUUGCAGUCAUUGACGAGGUAAGCAGAUGUAUGGGCUUGGUCUAUUUAUUCUUUUAUUUCGCUAUAUCUUACGCACAGAUUAAACUUUGCUUUACCUGAUCUAAAUUUAAUUUUUUUUACUGAUCGGAGUUUGGGGAAGUUUUUCUCUUAAUGCUUCAAGUUAGAUCUAAAUUCUCUUUUAUCUAGGUAUAUAUGGACUGUAGUUUUAAUUAUGUAAGAAAUCCACGCAUGAAGAUGCACUUAAUUUAUUGGUAUUUCCACAUGCAUUAUUUACCUCUCAAAUUUUCUUAGUAAUAAUAUAUUUUAAAUUUUGAUUGUAAACUAUGAUUAAUGUGAAAAUUAAAAGCAAUUUGGGAGAAAAGUGCCACUCGAUUUGAACUCUAUAAAAUUAUGUAUAGGAAACCAAAUUAAUUUUUAUAGAACUGUGUAGAAUCAAAGCAAAAAAAAGAGGUGAUCAGUAACGACAUGUAGAAUAUUUGAAAUUAUGCAAAAAGCGCAAUAUACAUAUGCGUACAUGUGACAACAUUGGCUCACUGAAUUUUUGCUAAUAGCAUCAUAUGUCAUGAUAUGUUGAAAUUCUUUAAAUACAUUUACUAUCUACUACUCCCUCCAUUUCUGAAUAUAAGUGUUUUCUAGAGAUUCCAAUGUAAACUACAUACGGAGCAAAAUGAGUGAAUCUACGCUGUAAAAUACAUCUACAUACAUCCGUAUGUAGUCCAUAUUGAAAUCUUUAGAAAGAAAUAUAUUUAGGAACCGAGGGAGUAGAUCGUGGAGCCCUCGGCUGCCCACAGGUCCUGAUGUGGUGAAGGGGGAUGCCAUAGACUAGAUGCUCACGCGGCUGGGCCUCGACAAGGAGGCCCUCUUCACUGUUGUGUGCUCCCCUAGGCCGACAAUGCUUGUAAGCCACACACAAACCGAGGCUGCCACAUGGCGUCGGACGGUUGGGCUUCAUGACACAGCCGAGGCAGAUCCUAAGUAUAGUCUUAGGCAACAAUGCUAGCGUUUUCAUGUCGCCAAAACACUCAUGAAGCCGGCCCACCUACACUGGGAAAGGCAAAAAACAGUGGCUCAUUGUGUCGCUACCAGGGAUCGAACUCACAACCUCCUAGAAAAUUUCCAAGGCUGCAACCAAUCAAGCUAGACAAUGUUUCUGUUUAGUACCCCUCAAAAAAAAAGUUUCUGUUUAGUACCACCUCGCUUUAGUACAUCCCAUAUCACCAUUUAAAAUAUAUGUGUGUGAAAACUGCACCUACGUGGAACCUGGCUGCUCGAUGGAUUAUAUUGCCGUAAUGAGAAAACUCAUGCACACAAAUCGGCCCAAUGACUCCGCAUCUCUCAAAAAAUAGAGAAAUACAUGAAGGAUAAUUCAAGGAAGGAUUGAGAAUUGUUGAGAAAAUUAGGGACAGAAAUAUAAGCAAGUCAAUUCAAGGAAGCAUUGCGAAUUGAGGACAAGUCAAUAAUAUAGACUGAGAGAAAUAAUAAAGGAAGGAACGGGAAUUUGAGGGAAAAGUCAAUAAAGACUGAGAAAAAUAAUAAAGGAAGGAACCAGAAUUGAGGGAAAAUUGUGCCAAAUUUCCAUGAUAUCCGUACGUGGAGGCUAAUCUUCUAUUGUAUUUAAGUGGCGGGCUAAUAUUGAAAGCGUCGACGUAAUGCCGGGAAUGAAUAUAUGUUCAACUUUAAGAAGAAAGUUAUGUCCACGACUACAUUGGAUGUUUUUUUCUCCAUUGCGUCUUUGGUAUGACCGAGUUGAACAACAGAUGCCGGUCACUGACAUGCUCCUCUACUAGACAUCAUCACGUAGAAGCUAGCCUCGCUCAGCCCAGUUCCACCAGUCACAAUGCAUGAGGAGUCAGACUCAAAUUUCAUGGUGUUUCCAACACAACUACUUGAUUUUCCCUACUAUAUUAGCCAAAUGAUAAUAAAUCUUUGUCCAACGUUCUUAGUCUAGCCGAACACGAAGGAUGCUAAACCAUCCAGUUCUUGGGCCUGGCCAACCUUGCUUAGUAACAAUUGGCAAAUCCUGUUUCGUUUUAUCCAGAUGCCCGCUCCCUUUGUAGACGCGGCGGAUCAGGAGAAGUGAAGGGCGCGCCCUUGCCGGCGGACGGCUACAACUGCGGCGGAGCAGGAGAAGUGAAGGGCGCGCCCCUGCCGGCGGAUGGCUACAGCCGCGGCGGAGUAGAAGGGGCACCAGGGGGAGCGGCAGGAGACCCCACGCCGGAGUAGAAGGAGCAUCAGGGGGCGCGGCAGGAAGCCCCACGACGGAGUAGAAGGAGCGGCAGGAGGUACCACGGAGGUGGUGCUUGGGGCUCCGACGAACGAAGGCGAGCAGUGAUAGAGGAGAAGAUCCGCGGCGAUGCUCUGAAGGCCAUCAGCCAUGGCAGUUGUGGCUGUGCGCGCACGCAAGCGGCUGCGCGCGACACGUCGGUGUGAGAAAUCGGCAAGCCUUUUCCCACAUCGUUCAAUUGAUUAUCUAAGAUCAGAUAGAACGAGCCUUCCACAAGGACAGUGGCGCAUCGAGAGGAUGGUGGACAGUGGCGCAUCGCCGGCGCGGAUGAGGAGAUUGGAGCAGAGAGGGUGGAGAUGGAGCCGUGCGGGGCUGGAGAAGGAGAUUGGAGAAGAGAGGAUGGUGGACAGUGGCGCAUCGCCGGCGCGGAUGAGGAGAUUUGAGAAGAUAGGAUAGAGCCGUGCGGGGCUAGAGAAGGAGAUUGGAGAAAGAGGAUGGAGCCGUGCGUGCGCUGGAACGGUCGGCGAAGAGAACGGAGUAGUGGGUGCACGGCUGGAACACAGGCGGGCCAGCUCGUGUGGGCGCUGGAUGAUGGAGUCAUGGAGAAGAGAGGAUGAGCCGUGAUGGAUGUGGAUAAGGUCACGGGAGGAGAAAGAUGGAGGCGGUGAGGCACGUACUCCUCAAAAGGAUCUCUCUCGGGGUGGGGUGGGGAUUGAAUGCAUGUUGCAACUGCUCCUUUCUUUUUCUUUUUUUUAGGGAUGUUGCAACUGCUCGUAUGUGCACGCACUGGCUAAAUCAACUCGAUCCAUGAAAAUAUAGAAAGUAUGGACGCGGAUGCAUCUAUAAAUAUAGAAAGUAUGGACGCGGAUGCAUCUAAGUGUAUUCUUAAAUGUCAACUUUUUAUCACGUUGCAAACAAGUUCGUUUGACAAAAAAUUCCCAUGAUGCACUAUGCUUAGAUAUAACAUUCAGUUUUCUCCCGUUGCAACGCACGGGUAUUUGUGAUUUUCGUCCGACCGUCACAAAGCUAUUUUCAUACGUGCUCAAUUACGUACGCAAGCUGGCCUCUCACACGUAAUGUGGUAUGAGCACCUUCUCCUCGCACGAUGCACUACUGGGCUUCUUAUGGGCUAGAAGCCACGUCUCAGAUUUUAUUUUAUAAAAUAUGAUGCAUGCAUAUCUUUUGUUGAAUAGUCCCACCUUGCUUUCUUAUACUAAUUUCCACCAAUUUAUAAACACUUGUAACUUGCCUGAAAUAUCAACAAGCUGGCCACGCAAAGAGGGUACAUAAGAUAAUCCAUUGGCAGAGGGAUUAAAUAAACGGAGGGCUGGACUACAUGCAUGGCGUUCCUCUGUUAGACGUGAGCCAUCCAUGAUGAAGUAUCUAAACUGAAUUUCAGGAUUGUGGGCUUGGAUGUGCACUGCAGACAAUUUAAACGGCUACACCGAAAGAAGAGACGCAUGCUUACUUAUUAGCUUGAUUGCAAUUGGAAUGAAGUCUGCAAAACGCGGUCCUCUCUUCUCCUGCCUACGAGUGCCCAAAGGAGGGAACUACUCACUGAACUACUAACGUGUAUUGAGCAGGCACUGGAUGGAGAGCUACUGAACUACUCACUGAACUACUAACUCCUUGGUGAGCAGCGACAGCUGCAGUAGGAUAUCUGAAUCUGUCAUUCGCAACCUGACGGAUGGAUAACCAACCGUGAAUAGUAUAAAUACCGCCAUAUUAUUUUACAAGAAAACUAAAGAAGUAUGAGCGUGUGAAAUCAACCAAAGCUCAAGUCACAUCAGUACAAUUCGUCCUCUAAUUCAUAUAAUUUUGCUUCGAUUAAAUAAUUUUUUUAAUAUGAGUAAAGGAUCUAUGGAUGAAGAUACAAUAAAGUUUAUCGACUCUUUUUUUGGGGGGAAAGUAAAUGAAUAAAAUUAAAAGAAGACAUGUUGUUGUCCUGUAUUUUGACCAUGUAUAGGUUUAUUCUAGAGCCGUAGCAACGCACGGGUCUUUUGCUAGUCUCUCCCUAAUAAUAAAGCACGGAUUGGGUCUCCGGGUUCACCGUCGCGGCGUGUUUAUACAAAAGUCCUUGAGUUUUUCUAGAAUAAACCCGCAAUCCUAUUGUUAAGUCAACUCGGCGGUAUGGGGAACAGAAAAAAAAAACACCCGGACGACGGGACGAGGCACGACCUUGCCUCCCAUCUCAACUUCCAGCGCCCCGCCACCACCGGCCCCGCCCCUCCGCUGCGUGCCGCCACCACCUGCUCGCGCCGCGCGCCGCCCUGGUCGCAGCCAUCGGCCUUGCAUCGCCUCAACGUCCGACACCUGAAUCUCGCAAGCUCGCAACACACCUGCUCCCUUGCCAAGUUUGUCCAGGCGGCCGCCAUACUCGCUGCCAUUGCCGACUUCCCCUGCGGCGCCAAUCUCAAGAGCCCCGACAACUUCUCCGACAGCUUGAUUCCGUGCAUCUCGGCUACAUUACUUCAAGGAGGAGGAUGACGAUGAGGCGUAGCUCCUGGACACGGCCGCCUGUCCCGGGGACGGCGGGGAGGUCUGCAGCGACGAGGCGGAAAUUUAAUUCGACCUCACCUCGGGUUGCCGGCCUCCCCCAGUUCCUGCUGCCGGCGGCCUCCCCAAGCUCCUGUCGGCCUCCUCCCCGAGCCCCAAGCACGAACAAGGUACCGUGCUGCACACCUGAAAGUCACCCAGCUACUCCCUGUAAGCCAAAUCCCCUUUUGAAAUUGAGCAGUUGAGCAAAUUAACUAGGAAACCUUGACACAUGCUUGCAUCCAGUAGCUCGAUCUGCUGGUGCUAGGAGGGGAUUACCAUUAGAGGUAAUUCGAUUGGAAAGAAUUCCUUCAGUCUGUAACCCAGUUUAUGCCUCAAAUAACACGUAGAUCUAUUGAUUGAUUCCUGACAUCAACGCACUGAAUGGGCUCAGAAACGGAGAAGUGCCAUAGUGUAGUGUGGGGAUCAGCCUUUCUGGAGAUGCAUAAGUCAACAAUAUUCUGUAUUAUUGGAGCUAGCUUUUCAUCCAUAAAUUCUAAGGUCACUUUCCUUCUCUUUCUUUUCAUCUGCAAUUUUACGCGACCCCUUUCUUCAAAGUUGUUUGCUAAUGUAUGAGCCCAAUCUAAAAUUAAUUAGGCUAAUGGUGAGUGUUUUAGUUUCCUAGAUGGUGAUGCUUCUGUUAUGGGAAUGAUGUGCUUUCUAUUUUCAUGUCUAGACUUGGUUUCAUCUUUGUUCACAAGGUGAACUCCACUAAAUCUUUAGAUGUUUAUACAUUCACUGCCCACGCAUAUAUAUCCCACUCUGCUUUUUGCUGCACCUCCAUGAAUACAGAGCUCCCGUGGAAGCUUGGACAAAAGUAAGAAGUAAACCGCAGGCUUAAAAUUGCAAGAAGCAACCUGCUUUGAUUCAAAUAAUUUUGGCAGUCUGCCCAUCUAUUAGGAGAAAUAUGUGUCAAUUAAUUUCUACAGUAUGCAGCCAUGCUGUUUGAUUGGUCAGAGUUUCUCUUAGUCUCUUCAGACUCCAAUACAGUUGUUUUUCGUGGCCCAAAAACUGUUGCAAAGCAGAUAUAAGUGGUGAUGUAGCCUAGAACAGAAAAACUAAUCUGAAAAUACCUUUCCUUGAGAAAUUGGAAAUGUCGCUUGGAUUGGAAAAGCAUAGCUAGAUAAUACUAAUUAAUUCCACCCUUGGCAUGAUCAUAUUCGUGUAGGCUGUCCUUUUGGUCUCCAAACAUCGACAAUCAAUUUUUUUCAUCUAUAGAUUAUUGAGCAUAUGACGGGUAUAUGAUGAAAUACACGCGAGGCAGGAGUGUAGCGCCUGACGGUGGCCGCGUGUUUCUCCGCAUCUACAAACAGGCUCCUGGAUCAAUCCGGCAAAUACACAAUACGUGCAUGGCUCGAUUGAGAGCUCCCGCACCUUACAUGCCAGAUCACACUCCAACCAAUACACGAUGGAACAUCCAGUGGAGAAGAAGGUGAUCAGUUGGUUCAUGCGGAGCAACUCUUCAUGUUCAGUUCCUCAAUACAGUUUCUACAGUGAUUCGGGGCCGUUGUGUCAGCGGACAGCGCGGGCCAGUGAUUCUCCAGGGGCUGGCGAUGCCUCUCACCUAUUCAUCUCCAUAGUCAUGCCCAAUCUUCUAGUUGUCAUUCACCAGGCUCUUCAUCGACCUCAGUACGACCCUACAAACCACCAGCAUAGAUAACCUAUCUACUUCCUAGAUAUCCGUUCUACGUGCUAUUAGUUAGUCUUCUCUAUAAUAUGCAUGUAUGUCUUCUUUAAGGUUUUUGUUUUGUCGAAAUUUGAUCGUUCUAGGACAGGUUUGAUCCUCUGUUAACCAUUUAACUUAGACGAGCAAAGCUUAUCUUACUUUUUUCAAAGAACAAAAUUAUUUUACUUAAUUACUUGGUUGAAUACCAACAUGUGCAGAUAUGCUUUGAGCAGACUCAUGUACGUGUGUUCCUGGUCUGCAAGUGAAAGGUUCAGAGUCAUCUACUGCUUCUAGGAAAUAUUGCUUUCUAGAAGUGUACCGCGUAAUCUAAGCAAAUACCAGUAUCCAUAACCUGGCACGUACAAGGCAUCGAAUCCGAAUGAAUAUGUUAUAUGCUGACAUAUAGUAGUUUAGGAUGUAAUGGUUUGGCAUAGGAGUUUCUCAGUUUUGGUUUUAUGUUGUGUUAACGGUUUUGCACAAACAUAAUCGCAUAGCUCUGAAUUUGGGUCCUCGGGAUCAAAAUAUUACUGUUAUAAACAAUCUAAUCAUUUUCCUUUGGCAAGGAAGGUUCUUUGGUUAUCAUCAGUAGAAGCGGAGUUGGAUUCGUUGACAAAUGUUAAUGAUGGUCAAGGAUUUUUCUCUCUCAACGAUGCUUGAUUGAUCUUGUGGUGGCAGUUCUAUCGUGUUUCACAUGGCUGCAUCUUACAGGUUUUGCCGCCUCGCUCUGCAGCCUUCAAGUUGUGGUUGUAUGAAGGAUGAACCUAUGUCUCAUUUUUUGAGGGUGAACAUAUGUGCCAUUUCCUUGCUUUAAUAGUUUA
Triticum aestivum (bread wheat) is the source of this 8995-nucleotide long non-coding RNA. RefSeq lists it as uncharacterized. The transcript is spliced from 5 exons. NCBI's taxonomy places the organism in Eukaryota, Viridiplantae, Streptophyta, Magnoliopsida, Poales, Poaceae. The record is from RefSeq and is a predicted model, not a curated record.